GGGGGGUAGAAUUCCAGGUGUAGCGGUGAAAUGCGUAGAGAUCUGGAGGAAUACCGGUGGCGAAGGCGGCCCCCUGGACAAAGACUGACGCUCAGGUGCGAAAGCGUGGGGAGCAAACAGGAUUAGAUACCCUGGUAGUCCACGCCGUAAACGAUGUCUACUUGGAGGUUGUGCCCUUGAGGCGUGGCUUCCGGAGCUAACGCGUUAAGUAGACCGCCUGGGGAGUACGGCCGCAAGGUUAAAACUCAAAUGAAUUGACGGGGGCCCGCACAAGCGGUGGAGCAUGUGGUUUAAUUCGAUGCAACGCGAAGAACCUUACCUGGUCUUGACAUCCACAGAACUUUCCAGAGAUGGAUUGGUGCCUUCGGGAACUGUGAGACAGGUGCUGCAUGGCUGUCGUCAGCUCGUGUUGUGAAAUGUUGGGUUAAGUCCCGCAACGAGCGCAACCCUUAUCCUUUGUUGCCAGCGAUUAGG
This 474-nucleotide ribosomal RNA is filed under the name Salmonella enterica. Its description in RNAcentral is "bacterial SSU rRNA". It matches the Rfam family "Bacterial small subunit ribosomal RNA", at positions 656 to 1129 of the family's 1533-position model. The record is from RNAcentral. Lineage: Bacteria; Pseudomonadati; Pseudomonadota; Gammaproteobacteria; Enterobacterales; Enterobacteriaceae.